UACAGAGGUCCCGAGCGUUGUUCGGAUUUACUGGGCGUAAAGGGUGCGUAGGCGGUGGGGUAAGUUUGAGGUGAAAGCUCCGGGCUCAACCCGGAAAAUGCCUUGAAAACUAUCCGGCUAGAGGGUUGGAGGGGAGACUGGAAUUCUCGGUGUAGCAGUGAAAUGCGUAGAUCUCGAGAGGAACACCAGUGGCGAAGGCGGGUCUCUGGACAACCCCUGACGCUGAGGCACGAAAGCCAGGGGAGCAAACGGG
This 253-nucleotide ribosomal RNA is filed under the name uncultured bacterium. RNAcentral describes it as "partial 16S ribosomal RNA". It matches the Rfam family "Bacterial small subunit ribosomal RNA", at positions 524 to 776 of the family's 1533-position model. The record is from RNAcentral.